ACGGGAGGCAGCAGUGAGGAAUAUUGGUCAAUGGGCGGAAGCCUGAACCAGCCAAGUCGCGUGAAGGAUGAAGGUAUUAUGUAUUGUAAACUUCUUUAGACGUAGAGAAAUAAGGGGAUCGUGAUCCCUGAUGCUAGUAUACGUAGAAUAAGGAUCGGCUAACUCCGUGCCAGCAGCCGCGGUAAUACGGAGGAUCCGAGCGUUAUCCGGAUUUAUUGGGUUUAAAGGGUGCGCAGGCGGGAUGUCAAGUCAGUGGUGAAAUGGUGCGGCUCAACCGUAGCAUUGCCGUUGAAACUGGCGUCCUUGAGUGCGAAUGAGGUACGCGGAACGUGUCAUGUAGCGGUGAAAUGCAUAGAUAUGACACAGAACACCGAUUGCGAAGGCAGCGUACUGGGACGCGACUGACGCUGAGGCACGAAAGUGCGGGGAUCGAACAGGAUUAGAUACCCUGGUA
RNAcentral lists this ribosomal RNA (454 nucleotides) under uncultured Porphyromonadaceae bacterium. RNAcentral's name for it is "bacterial SSU rRNA". It matches the Rfam family "Bacterial small subunit ribosomal RNA", at positions 341 to 792 of the family's 1533-position model. Lineage: Bacteria; Pseudomonadati; Bacteroidota; Bacteroidia; Bacteroidales; Porphyromonadaceae. The record is from RNAcentral.